This 207-nucleotide ribosomal RNA is filed under the name uncultured bacterium. Its description in RNAcentral is "partial 16S ribosomal RNA". It matches the Rfam family "Bacterial small subunit ribosomal RNA", at positions 568 to 774 of the family's 1533-position model. The record is from RNAcentral.
CGCGUAGGCGGUUUGUUUAGUUAGGCGUGAAAUUCCUGGGCUUAACCUGGGGACUGCGCUUAAUACAGGCAGACUUGGGUUCGGAAGAGGGUCGUGGAAUUCCCAGUGUAGAGGUGAAAUUCGUAGAUAUUGGGAAGAACACCGGUGGCGAAGGCGGCGACCUGGUCCGAUACUGACGCUGAGGCGCGAAAGCGUGGGGAGCAAACA